This 465-nucleotide ribosomal RNA is filed under the name uncultured Klebsiella sp. Its description in RNAcentral is "bacterial SSU rRNA". It matches the Rfam family "Bacterial small subunit ribosomal RNA", at positions 338 to 795 of the family's 1533-position model. The record is from RNAcentral. Lineage: Bacteria; Pseudomonadati; Pseudomonadota; Gammaproteobacteria; Enterobacterales; Enterobacteriaceae.
CCUACGGGAGGCUGCAGUGGGGAAUAUUGCACAAUGGGCGCAAGCCUGAUGCAGCCACGCCGCGUGUGUGAAGAAGGCCUUCGGGUUGUAAAGCACUUUCAGCGGGGAGGAAGGCGGUGAGGUUAAUAACCUCAUCGAUUGACGUUACCCGCAGAAGAAGCACCGGCUAACUCCGUGCCAGCAGCCGCGGUAAUACGGAGGGUGCAAGCGUUAAUCGGAAUUACUGGGCGUAAAGCGCACGCAGGCGGUCUGUCAAGUCGGAUGUGAAAUCCCCGGGCUCAACCUGGGAACGGCAUUCGAAACUGGCAGGCUAGAGUCUUGUAGAGGGGGGUAGAAUUCCAGGUGUAGCGGUGAAAUGCGUAGAGAUCUGGAGGAAUACCGGUGGCGAAGGCGGCCCCCUGGACAAAGACUGACGCUCAGGUGCGAAAGCGUGGGGAGCAAACAGGAUUAGAUACCCGUGUAGUC